Molecule: ribosomal RNA, 253 nt
Filed under: uncultured bacterium
Lineage: Bacteria
Description: partial 16S ribosomal RNA
Rfam family: Bacterial small subunit ribosomal RNA
Source: RNAcentral
UACGUAGGGUGCGAGCGUUAAUCGGAAUUACUGGGCGUAAAGCGUGCGCAGGCGGUUCGUUGUGUCCGUCGUGAAAGCCCCGGGCUUAACCUGGGAACUGCAUUUGUGACUGCAUAGCUAGAGUACGGUAGAGGGGGAUGGAAUUCCGCGUGUAGCAGUGAAAUGCGUAGAUAUGCGGAGGAACACCGAUGGCGAAGGCAAUCCCCUGGACCUGUACUGACGCUCAUGCACGAAAGCGUGGGGAGCAAACAGG